This 298-nucleotide ribosomal RNA is filed under the name uncultured Methanosaeta sp. RNAcentral describes it as "partial 16S ribosomal RNA". It matches the Rfam family "Archaeal small subunit ribosomal RNA", at positions 174 to 473 of the family's 1478-position model. The record is from RNAcentral. Lineage: Archaea; Methanobacteriati; Methanobacteriota; Methanomicrobia; Methanotrichales; Methanotrichaceae.
AAUGCAUCGAGAUUUAAAGCUCCGGCGCCUUAGGAUGGGUCUGCGGCCUAUCAGGUAGUAGUGGGUGUAGCGUACCUACUAGCCUACGACGGGUACGGGUUGUGAGAGCAAGAGCCCGGAGAUGGAUUCUGAGACACGAAUCCAGGCCCUACGGGGUGCAGCAGGCGCGAAAACUUUACAAUGCUGGCAACAGCGAUAAGGGAACCUCGAGUGCCAGGUUACAAAUCUGGCUGUCGAGAUGCCUAAAAAGCAUUUCAUAGCAAGGGCCGGGCAAGACCGGUGCCAGCCGCCGCGGUAA